UGCCACCCGUCCCUUAAAAUACGGAAUCGUCCUUUAUUUGACAAUUAAUUGUCAGAUUGUUCCGUAUUUUCAUAAAUGCCCCACACACGUCUGUCACACACUCAUCAAAACUGUCUAAUGAACAAAAUAAAACACAGGAAAUAUUAAGGGCAGCCAAUUUCUUCCACGUAGGACCUACGUAGCGAGGACCCGCGAGGUCCAGCGGAUAGAUCUCAGAGUUGUCUACGUGCCCAGUCCUGCCCGGUCCUGUCUCUGGUUUCCUGCUUACAGACGCUGCUGCACCCGCGCGUCUAAAAAUGUCUACAAGCGAAACUCCACCGCGUUCAAAGAAGCAAGAACAUUUUCAAAAUUGCAGACGUGAUUGGGAAGACUGGAACCCCUGGCAGUGGGUACGAGACAAACUGUGUUUUCUGUUGCUCGUGGACUGGCUGAAGUAAGGCAGCAUCAGGAGACCAACAGGUGAGAACCAUGACAACAGAGAGAACCCAAGCAGCAGGUCACAGUUUUUCAUCCCCAAUCAUCUCCUGAAGCUGAUAUGGUGGCAACCCGAGCCAGAGCCAGAGCAUCCCCCUCCCCAGCACACCACUGCAUAGAAGACCAUGGAUGCCACCACAGUGUCAUAAAAGGCCUUCAGCAGUGGCCUGCUCACACCAAAUGAUGCGAGUCUCCGAAGCAGACCAAAGAACUACAGACUCUUCACAACCUGCUCAAACUCUUGGUACAGGACCUCACCACACAGGUCAAGAAGGUUUCCAUCUCAUUUCUACUCUGAAGAUCACCUUCUCCUGCUCAAACUGCUGACAAAUGUUUCUGCUGCUCUAAAGUCUGGUCUCCAGAACUUCCUAAAAACUCUCAAAGUCUCUUCUGCUGCAGGUUGCUAUGUAGAACUGUUACAGAAAACCUCACUAAACCACAUGGAGGGGCCUCAAGAUAGUCGUCCAAAUGAAACCAUACAAAAACCAAACUAGCACAACCCAAACACUAAAGUCUCCUGCAGCCUACCAGAGAACCUCUGAGAACAGAGAAUCAGGACAGGAACUCUUACCUUCUGGACAACCAACGCUGGUUCUCAAACAAGAAUACAGAAUGUGUCUGACCAAAAACCUCCGAAGACUCACUACAGCCAAGAUAAAGACACAACUCAGCUGCACCAAAUCCACUAAUCACUGCACACAUAAGAACCAUGUGCAAACUGUGGCUAAAGAACCACAUUUACCAAGACAACUAUCCAGUACAAAGCCCUAAAACACACCAAGAAACACAUUAAAGCCUAUUUUACUGCUGGAAGCUGCAAGCCAACGACUAAAGAACAAAUUAAAGCAAUGGAGCCAAACCCAGUACACUGGUGGAGAGAAGCAGAGGAAAUGUUUGUCUGCAGCUAAAUAAAGCAGGAAGACACUGAGCUGCUCAGGUGUUCCUGAUAACACCAAGCAGCCACCUGGACAGCCAAUAGGAACACAGCUUACUGGGAGUCCAGAGGGCUGGAUUAGUCAAGUAAAUUUAGUUUAAAGUUGAAGCAGAAAGUUAACAAAGAAAGUUGAAAACCACCUUCUGAUACCUGAAAUCUCUGAGUUUUCACACAAAGAACACCUGAACAUGUCAAACUGGUUCCAUAGUAGAACCAUCAUUGUAAAAACGUCAUAGUAUGGUGUGUUGCUAAAAAAACAUUACAACCCGGCUGUCUAGGGUCGCCGAGGAGCAACACAAAAACAGGACAAACGCUGGUUUACAGGGGGUUAGGCGGCUAUUUAUUUGAAAGAGUAAGUUUACAACAACACAACAUGUGAGCAGAAAAAUCACAGUCUGUCUUUAGUUCAGCUGAAAAAAUUAGCUUUUGUCUUUUUUAUUGACUAAACUUUUCAGGAAGUAGAUGAAGAAUAAUUAAAGCUCUCAUGUAGAAGUCCAACUUAUUUUGGAUCCUUGUGGAGAGUUUAAUCUUAGAGUUUGUACAGCUGUUGAGUUUUUAGAGUCACAUGGAUUGUUUUGACAUUUAAUAACCGAGUCCUGAAAUAAAAUUACAGUUGUGGA
Molecule: long non-coding RNA, 2028 nt
Organism: Amphiprion ocellaris (clown anemonefish)
Lineage: Eukaryota; Metazoa; Chordata; Actinopteri; Pomacentridae
Exons: 3
Source: RefSeq, a predicted model, not a curated record